CCUUCGAUAUCUCAGUUGGUAGAGCGGGGGACUGUAGAUUUAUAAUUGUGAUCUCUAGGUCGCUGGUUCGAAUCCGGCUCGAAGGA
Molecule: transfer RNA, 86 nt
Filed under: Nematostella vectensis (starlet sea anemone)
Lineage: Eukaryota; Metazoa; Cnidaria; Anthozoa; Actiniaria; Edwardsiidae
Rfam family: tRNA
About the family: Transfer RNA (tRNA) molecules are approximately 80 nucleotides in length. Their secondary structure includes four short double-helical elements and three loops (D, anti-codon, and T loops).
Source: Rfam by way of RNAcentral